AUUGAACGCUGGCGGCAGGCCUAACACAUGCAAGUCGAGCGGAUGAAGGGAGCUUGCUCCUGGAUUCAGCGGCGGACGGGUGAGUAAUGCCUAGGAAUCUGCCUGGUAGUGGGGGAUAACGUCCGGAAACGGGCGCUAAUACCGCAUACGUCCUGAGGGAGAAAGUGGGGGAUCUUCGGACCUCACGCUAUCAGGUGAGCCUAGGUCGGAUUAGCUAGUUGGUGGGGUAAAGGCCUACCAAGGCGACGAUCCGUAACUGGUCUGAGAGGAUGAUCAGUCACACUGGAACUGAGACACGGUCCAGACUCCUACGGGAGGCAGCAGUGGGGAAUAUUGGUCAAUGGGCGAAAGCCUGAUCCAGCCAUGCCGCGUGUGUGAAGAAGGUCUUCGGAUUGUAAAGCACUUUAAGUUGGGAGGAAGGGCAGUAAGUUAAUACCUUGCUGUUUUGACGUUACCAACAGAAUAAGCACCGGCUAACUUCGUG
RNAcentral lists this ribosomal RNA (484 nucleotides) under uncultured bacterium. Its description in RNAcentral is "partial 16S ribosomal RNA". It matches the Rfam family "Bacterial small subunit ribosomal RNA", at positions 30 to 507 of the family's 1533-position model. The record is from RNAcentral.